UUAUAAAAAAAAACUAAGAAAUUCUCUCUGAAAGAGAGAGAGAAAGGGAGCUCCGGACUCCGGCCCUCGCAAACCAGGCUCCGGCCCAUGCGCCCACGCGCCGCCCUAAGGGCCACCGUAUUCGGAGAUCGAAGAGUUCGGAAAACUCUCGUCUCUUCAGAUCCAAAAACAGGUAGUUCUUUUCCUUCAAAAUACCCUUACUAUUUUGCUAACAGUUCAUAUAUGUGCUAAAAAAUAAAGAAUAAGUCACUCGGUUAUCACCUUUGAAACUGUUUGUUCUUUUUUUUAUUUCUAUAUUCCUGUUUGUAUAGAGGGUUACAAAGGGCUUUUUAUAGCCAUUGUUUAUUACAAAAACUGGGAAAGAAAUCGAAAAUUUCUUUCUAUUUCUUGCUCACUGUGUCUUUGACCGUGAUCUGUUGAGAUUUUUAGUUUCCUUUUCUUGCUCUAUGUAUCUGCUGUGUUUCCUUUUCUUGCAGGUAUCCCGAUGAUCUCGGCGUUAACGACGGUACCAAGGCCAGAGGGGAAGCCUGAGAUCGCGGUGCUGGACGGACGCCUUGAUGGCGCGUCAGUGUGCAUUGAUGGCCUCGAUCUGGGGAGUUGCACCGACGCUCCCCGAAGCUUCCAAAAGCUGUUGCGGCGCGAGGGGAAAGAGCUAGGGUUGAAAACCCUAGCUGAUAAUUUUGGGUUUUUUGGGCCUCUGUUAUUUGGGUCUUAGUUUAGGUUUGGGCUUCGAGUGUAUUUGGGCUAAGGUUGUAAUUGUAAUGGGUAUGGGUUAACGAGUCAAUGUAAAUGGACUUUUAUAUGGACAAUUAUUUAUUUAUUUAAUUGGUUUACAGCCCGGUCAAAUUUGGGCUACUACAACCGGUUGAGACAACUAAUUGGAACAACCAACAAACAUAUGAUUUUUUUUUUCAAAAUGUUUAAAGUUUUUAUAGUUUUGCAAAUGAAAUUUCUUGAUUGGAAUUCAACUAUAAAUAAGAAGACAUAAAAUUUAUAAAAUUGUUUAGUAUUAAAUGUUUUUUUGCACAACUCACGCACCGCUAAUAAAAGAAAAUCACCGCCACAUAUGCAUGCAUCCGUGAUAGGCAAUCACUGUGAUUCCAACCCACAAUGUGGAUAUAGGGUGAUUGCCCUUGGCUAAUAAACUAAAUAUUAGGGUUCGGUUAAUUAGUAAAUGCUAAUUCUAUUAAAAUUUAAAUUCUUU
This 1204-nucleotide long non-coding RNA is filed under the name Gossypium barbadense (sea-island cotton). RNAcentral describes it as "long non-coding RNA (GBAR_LNC023192)". The record is from RNAcentral. Lineage: Eukaryota; Viridiplantae; Streptophyta; Magnoliopsida; Malvales; Malvaceae.